GUGGGGAAUAUUGCACAAUGGGCGCAAGCCUGAUGCAGCGACGCCGCGUGAGGGAUGACGGCCUUCGGGUUGUAAACCUCUUUCAGUAGGGAAGAAGCCGCAAGGUGACGGUACCUGCAGAAGAAGCGCCGGCUAACUACGUGUCAGCAGCCGCGGUAAUACGUAGGGCGCAAGCGUUAUCCGGAAUUAUUGGGCGUAAAGAGCUCGUAGGCGGUUUGUCGCGUCUGCCGUGAAAGUCCGGGGCUCAACUCCGGAUCUGCGGUGGGUACGGGCAGACUAGAGUGAUGUAGGGGAGACUGGAAUUCCUGGUGUAGCGGUGAAAUGCGCAGAUAUCAGGAGGAACACCGAUGGCGAAGGCAGGUCUCUGGGCAUUAACUGACGCUGAGGAGCGAAAGCGUGGGGAGCAAAC
This 409-nucleotide ribosomal RNA is filed under the name uncultured bacterium. RNAcentral's name for it is "bacterial SSU rRNA". It matches the Rfam family "Bacterial small subunit ribosomal RNA", at positions 354 to 773 of the family's 1533-position model. The record is from RNAcentral.